UGCAUAUCAAAAAGCGGAGGAAAAGAAACCAACAGGGAUUGCCUCAGUAACGGCGAGUGAAGCGGCAAAAGCUCAAAUUUGAAAUCUAGCACCUUCGGUGUUCGAGUUGUAAUUUGAAGAUGGUAACCUUGGGUUUGGCUCUUGUCUAUGUUCCUUGGAACAGGACGUCAUAGAGGGUGAGAAUCCCGUCUGAUGAGAUGCCCAUUCCUAUGUAAGGUGCUAUCGAAGAGUCGAGUUGUUUGGGAAUGCAGCUCUAAGUGGGUGGUAAAUUCCAUCUAAAGCUAAAUAUUGGCGAGAGACCGAUAGCGAACAAGUACAGUGAUGGAAAGAUGAAAAGAACUUUGAAAAGAGAGUGAAAAAGUACGUGAAAUUGUUGAAAGGGAAGGGCAUUAGAUCAGACUUGGUGUUUUACGAUUAUCUUCUCUUCUUGAGUUGUGCACUCGUAUUUCACUGGGCCAGCAUCGAUUCGGAUGGCAAGAUAAUGGCAGUUGAAUGUGGCUUCACUUCGGUGGAGUGUUAUAGCUUCUGCUGAUAUUGCCUGUCUGGAUCGAGGGCUGCGUCUUGACUAGGAUGCUG
RNAcentral lists this ribosomal RNA (576 nucleotides) under Hansenula anomala. RNAcentral's name for it is "eukaryotic LSU rRNA". It matches the Rfam family "Eukaryotic large subunit ribosomal RNA", at positions 37 to 628 of the family's 3401-position model. The record is from RNAcentral. Lineage: Eukaryota; Fungi; Ascomycota; Saccharomycetes; Phaffomycetales; Wickerhamomycetaceae.